Molecule: transfer-messenger RNA, 112 nt
Filed under: Burkholderiaceae bacterium
Lineage: Bacteria; Pseudomonadati; Pseudomonadota; Betaproteobacteria; Burkholderiales; Burkholderiaceae
Description: partial transfer-messenger RNA
Rfam family: transfer-messenger RNA
About the family: Bacterial tmRNA, also known as 10Sa RNA or SsrA, is named for its dual tRNA and mRNA-like properties. Its role is to liberate the mRNA from a stalled ribosome. To accomplish this part of the tmRNA is used as a reading frame that ends in a translation stop signal.
Source: RNAcentral
GGGGCUGCAUUGGUUUCGACGCGGGUUGGAAUCGCCUCAGGGCAUGCCGAGGUUCAGUCACCUCGUAAAACCGCUGAACUCAAACUAACUGCAAACGACGAACGUUUCGCUC